GAGAUGACUGAACAUGAAUGUAUGAAAACUGUGACAUCUGAGAAUGCAAAACCAAGUAUAAGUCUUUAAUCUGAAACAAGUCUAAAAUUCAAAAGAUUAUAAAUUGCAUAGCUGAAAAACUAAAAGUCUAUACACUUAGUCAAGCAAACCUAAACUGAGAAUACAUUGAAAUACUGUACUGAGACUGUGGGAGGUAUCAUCCAACUGACAUGCCCCA
This 217-nucleotide long non-coding RNA is filed under the name Capsicum annuum. RNAcentral's name for it is "long non-coding RNA (CANN_LNC012901)". Lineage: Eukaryota; Viridiplantae; Streptophyta; Magnoliopsida; Solanales; Solanaceae. The record is from RNAcentral.